CAGUCCGCAGCGCACGCGAUAAUGAGGUCAAAUCCCGAACUUUAUGUGCACGGGCUACGUCACGAAUCGGCCACGAGACUUACACGUGUUAUUGCGAGAGUUUGGCAGCUUAUUUUCCAUGAACUACAUGUUGCAAAUGAAGUAGCGGGUCUCCAAGAUGGCGUGGAACCUGUUCCAGCCAGUUCAAUGCCUCGGUCAUCAGUUGUCGUUGACAGUUUCAUCGCCUCCAACACAGGAACUGUCACGUUCACUUCAGUGGCUUGGUUGGCAUGGUCCUCAUUUUAUGUCGUUGACAUUGACAAUCUAUCAUCUCUCACACAAGAAUGUUUUCUGAGACUCAGAUUCAUGCAGUAUUAAGUUCCUGUGUGCAGAUUUUAUGAUUUUUGUACUUCAGUGUAAAGGCCGGUUCAUAUACUUGGAAAUUUCUCAAGACUACGAAUGGAAAGCGACAUUGACAUCGUGAAACCUUCGCUUCAAAUCUGCCGGAAUUGAAACAUGCUUAACUUUUGUGAAAUUGCAGUGCCGUGACGUCAACAAUUUGAAUUUGCAUUCGCAGAGUAUGAUCCGGCCUUUAUAUGUACUGCGUUGUGCAAACAACAUCAUCACCAUUUGUUGUUGCCAUGUUAAACACGGUUUAUUUAAGUCAUGCCACAGAUACCAUGCCAAAGACACCAACCAAAGAUUAUCUAAAAUGUACUACAUGUAAACAUUGCUUCAUGUACAUAAUCGUGAUUAGUGACACUAUGCCAAAACUGUGGUUAUUGUUAUCAUCUUCACUUCACUGUAAAUUGUUUAAAUUGAACAGGUUACUACCAGAUUUUAGCAGUUUUUAGAUUGUAGGAGAGUUGAUGAUAUUUUUGCUUUUGAUUUUUGUUGACGUUUAUUUCUUAUCCAAAGACAGAUGUUGUCAGACAUGUAUGCCAAAACUCAUUUUAAAAAAUGCUUUCCCUUCCUUAUGCAAGCUGAUUUUUAUUCUGGCUGGAAACAUGGGUAUUAUUAACACAUGUAUUUGCAAUUUGUGAUGUGAGAUGUCAUGAAAAGAAGCUAUCUGAGUUUUCUAUAAGUGUUUCAAAGCAAGGAUGUGAUGGUGUAACAAUAUUAUACAAAACUGAUCUAGUAUGUUAAUGCUUGCAAGAACAUGUACAUGUAAGUUUGUUUAUUUUUCUUUUUUUUUAUUAUAAAAAUCUUUGGACAAUAAUUUAAAAUCUAUUUAAAAAUAAAAGUAAAGUGUCCUGGUCAAGACAAACGUUUGUAGGAAUUGUCAUCAAAGAUGAGUCAGCCCAAUUAAAAAUUAAAAUUUAGAAUAAAAAAAACAACAGGCAUUUUAUAUGAAAAUAUACAGUUCUUAUAUAAAACAGUUCAUAAAAUAAAUUCAAAGUUUAUAGGAUUUUUAUAAGUUGUGUUUUGAAAAUUGUCUUCAAUAAAUACAGAAAACAAAUAUCCCUAAAUAA
Long non-coding RNA from Patiria miniata (bat star), 1451 nucleotides. RefSeq lists it as uncharacterized. The record is from RefSeq and is a predicted model, not a curated record. The transcript has 2 exons. Lineage: Eukaryota; Metazoa; Echinodermata; Asteroidea; Valvatida; Asterinidae.